UCAAACAUAUUCAGCUUUCUUCUCCCUUCCUCUCUAACAUGGGUGGUGAGUUCCAAGGGGGUGGAGGACUGGUUUUUCCUCGUUUUCUUGCAUGAAAGAGUGGUCGUUACUCAAAAUUGAGGUAUAAGUAUUCUUAAUUUGGUCUUAGUUUUAGUUGAUUCCACUGUUAGUUCCUCGAUUUUAUGUUUCAAAUUUAUACUUCAGGUGUUAGGGAAAUCCAUAAAUGACUUCAUAAGCCUUCAUUUUAGUAAAGAUUAGUGUGGCUAGAUUCAAAUUUCGUUCUGCAUGUGUAGUUUUCUAGGUUCUCUGUGUGAUUCUUCUGAAUUUCAGGUGAACGAAGGCAAAUGGGAAGAGUUUACAUCUUUUUAAGUUUUAACUCUAAUGAACUCAAAAUCCAUGGUUGAGGUGUAGGGUAUGUGUGGACCUCUAGGACAUAAGUGGAACUAAAAUAUGUUAAGUAUUCAGUUCCAUCUUAAAAAUGGUCCAACAUUCCUCCGGUUAUCUAAGUCCCGAAAUUAUCCCGAAGUAAACCGAGGCCUUCUAUGCCAAUUCUGGGCUUUUGGGCCAAAAUAGUCUGUGAAAUUCUUAUCGUGCUUGGUUAAGAUUAUACUUGUAUCCAAAUGAAAUAUUUGGAUAUAUUGAAGUGUCUAUAGCUCUUUUAGGUCAAUCUCUUCAACGUUUCAGGAAGUGUUAGUACCGGGAAAGGUGAAGUGAUGGAGACAAGUGUUUUAUACAUGAGGAUAGAAAUUGUGUCAAAGAUAAUCAUGCAUCUCUAGCGUAAGUCUAAGAUGAAUAUAAUCGAAUAUUAUUUGUGGCUGGGA
RNAcentral lists this long non-coding RNA (821 nucleotides) under Lupinus angustifolius (narrow-leaved blue lupine). RNAcentral's name for it is "long non-coding RNA (LANG_LNC001054)". Lineage: Eukaryota; Viridiplantae; Streptophyta; Magnoliopsida; Fabales; Fabaceae. The record is from RNAcentral.